This is a long non-coding RNA of Ochotona curzoniae (black-lipped pika), 673 nucleotides long. RefSeq lists it as uncharacterized. The transcript has 7 exons. The record is from RefSeq and is a predicted model, not a curated record. Lineage: Eukaryota; Metazoa; Chordata; Mammalia; Lagomorpha; Ochotonidae.
UAUUAGCUAUAUAUAUAUAUUUGCCUUAACAUAUUUUUUUGUUAAAAAUUUGUUUCAGAUUGCAAGCAGGCUUUAUGUAGUAAAAAAGAAAAAGCUUGCUGUAGAACACUCUGGACUAAUAAAAGAAAAUUGUGAUCUACUUGACAAACCUAACUUUCUAGAAAAAGAGGCAACCAAUGAACAGCUGAAGAUUUGCAAAUCUAAGCUGGACGAUAAAGUUCUUUCCGUUGAAAAACAAUUUGAACAAGAAUUGGAAAAAUGUGAUCGACCUGAAUUGGUGGCAAAGAUUUUACCAGCGUUACAGGCCCUAAAAGAUGGAAGAAAGUCCCUCAACUCACAAAUUGCUGACGCUACAACAACGACCAGACCAUUUCAAAUUAUUCAUGAGGCAAUUAAGGCAGAACUAGAGAAGGUUUUCAAUGAAAAUGUGCAGCUUCACCAAGAACUGUUGCAGCUUUCAGAAGAACCUGGACCAUGGAAAGAAAAAUUACGGAAAGCUGCUGAUGAAGCACAAAUAGGACUUGAAAACACUAAAAUACGCAGAAAACAACUUCUGAGGGAUGCACGAGGCCUCUUUGAGGUGAAAGACCCGUCUUCAUCUCUCAACGUUGUAGAAGACACAACUAAAAAUAAUGACAAGAAAAACUUGGACAGGAAGAAUGACGAAAACAAU